GACGAACGCUGGCGGCGUGCUUAACACAUGCAAGUCGAACGAUGAAGCCAGCUUGCUGGUGGAUUAGUGGCGAACGGGUGAGUAACACGUGGGUGAUCUGCCCCAAACUUUGGGAUAAGCCUGGGAAACUGGGUCUAAUACCGAAUAUGACCGAUACUCGCAUGGGUGUUGGUGGAAAGCUCCGGCGGUUUGGGAUGGGCCCGCGGCCUAUCAGCUUGUUGGUGGGGUAAUGGCCUACCAAGGCGACGACGGGUAGCCGGCCUGAGAGGGCGACCGGCCACACUGGGACUGAGACACGGCCCAGACUCCUAUGGGAGGCAGCAGUGGGGAAUAUUGCACAAUGGGCGCAAGCCUGAUGCAGCGACGCCGCGUGAGGGAUGACGGCCUUCGGGUUGUAAACCGCUUUCACCAGGGACGAAGCGAAAGUGACGGUACCUGGAGAAGAAGCACCGGCCAACUACGUG
RNAcentral lists this ribosomal RNA (464 nucleotides) under uncultured bacterium. RNAcentral describes it as "partial 16S ribosomal RNA". It matches the Rfam family "Bacterial small subunit ribosomal RNA", at positions 28 to 507 of the family's 1533-position model. The record is from RNAcentral.